This 497-nucleotide ribosomal RNA is filed under the name uncultured bacterium. RNAcentral's name for it is "partial 16S ribosomal RNA". It matches the Rfam family "Bacterial small subunit ribosomal RNA", at positions 28 to 507 of the family's 1533-position model. The record is from RNAcentral.
GAUGAACGCUGGCGGCGUGCCUAAUACAUGCAAGUCGAGCGAACAGAUGAGGAGCUUGCUCCUCUGACGUUAGCGGCGGACGGGUGAGUAACACGUGGAUAACCUACCUAUAAGACUGGGAUAACUUCGGGAAACCGGAGCUAAUACCGGAUAAUAUAUUGAACCGCAUGGCUCAAUAGUGAAAGACGGUUUUGCUGUCACUUAUAGAUGGAUCCGCGCCGCAUUAGCUAGUUGGUAAGGUAACGGCUUACCAAGGCAACGAUGCGUAGCCGACCUGAGAGGGUGAUCGGCCACACUGGAACUGAGACACGGUCCAGACUCCUACGGGAGGCAGCAGUAGGGAAUCUUCCGCAAAGGGCGAAAGCCUGACGGAGCAACGCCGCGUGAGUGAUGAAGGUCUUCGGAUCGUAAAACUCUGUUAUUAGGGAAGAACAAAUGUGUAAGUAACUAUGCACGUCUUGACGGUACCUAAUCAGAAAGCCACGGCUAACUACGUG